AGUGAACGCUGGCGGUAGGCCUAACACAUGCAAGUCGAACGGCAGCACAGUAAGAGCUUGCUCUUACGGGUGGCGAGUGGCGGACGGGUGAGGAAUACAUCGGAAUCUACUUUUUCGUGGGGGAUAACGUAGGGAAACUUACGCUAAUACCGCAUACGACCUACGGGUGAAAGCAGUGGAUCUUCGGACCUUGCGCGAUUGAAUGAGCCGAUGUCGGAUUAGCUAGUUGGCGGGGUAAAGGCCCACCAAGGCGACGAUCCGUAGCUGGUCUGAGAGGAUGGUCAGCCACACUGGAACUGAGACACGGUCCAGACUCCUACGGGAGGCAGCAGUGGGGAAUAUUGGACAAUGGGCGCAAGCCUGAUCCAGCCAUACCGCGUGUGUGAAGAAGGCCUUCGGGUUGUAAAGCCCUUUUGUUGGGAAAGAAAAGCAGCAGGUUAAUACCCCGCUGUUCUGACGGUACCCAAAGAAUAAGCACCGGCUAACUUCGUG
Molecule: ribosomal RNA, 492 nt
Filed under: uncultured bacterium
Lineage: Bacteria
Description: partial 16S ribosomal RNA
Rfam family: Bacterial small subunit ribosomal RNA
Source: RNAcentral